This 465-nucleotide ribosomal RNA is filed under the name uncultured bacterium. RNAcentral's name for it is "partial 16S ribosomal RNA". It matches the Rfam family "Bacterial small subunit ribosomal RNA", at positions 28 to 507 of the family's 1533-position model. The record is from RNAcentral.
GACGAACGCUGGCGGCGUGCUUAACACAUGCAAGUCGAACGGAAAGGCCCUGCUUGCAGGGUACUCGAGUGGCGAACGGGUGAGUAACACGUGGGUGAUCUGCCCUGCACUUCGGGAUAAGCCUGGGAAACUGGGUCUAAUACCGGAUAGGAGCCAUUUUUAGUGUGAUGGUUGGAAAGUUUUUUCGGUGUAGGAUGAGCUCGCGGCCUAUCAGCUUGUUGGUGGGGUAAUGGCCUACCAAGGCGGCGACGGGUAGCCGGCCUGAGAGGGUGGACGGCCACACUGGGACUGAGAUACGGCCCAGACUCCGACGGGAGGCAGCAGUGGGGAAUAUUGCACAAUGGGCGCAAGCCUGAUGCAGCGACGCCGCGUGGGGGAUGACGGCCUUCGGGUUGUAAACUCCUUUCGCUAGGGACGAAGCUUUUUGUGACGGUACCUAGAUAAGAAGCACCGGCUAACUACGUG